UACGGAGGGAGCUAGCGUUGUUCGGAUAUACUGGGCGUAAAGCGUGCGCAGGCGGCUUUGCAAGACAGAUGUGAAAUCCCCGGGCUUAACCUGGGAACUGCAUUUGUGACUGCAUGGCUAGAGUACGGUAGAGGGGGAUGGAAUUCCGCGUGUAGCAGUGAAAUGCGUAGAUAUGCGGAGGAACACCGAUGGCGAAGGCAAUCCCCUGGACCUGUACUGACGCUCAUGCACGAAAGCGUGGGGAGCAAACAGG
Molecule: ribosomal RNA, 253 nt
Filed under: uncultured bacterium
Lineage: Bacteria
Description: partial 16S ribosomal RNA
Rfam family: Bacterial small subunit ribosomal RNA
Source: RNAcentral